CAUUGCUGGAACGCGCUUCGGCGCACCCAGAAACCCUUUGUGAACUUAUACCUAUCUGUUGCCUCGGCGCAGGCCGGCCUCUUCACUGAGGCCCCCUGGAGACAGGGAGCAGCCCGCCGGCGGCCAACUAAACUCUUGUUUCUAUAGUGAAUCUCUGAGUAAAAACAUAAAUGAAUCAAAACUUUCAACAACGGAUCUCUUGGUUCUGGCAUCGAUGAAGAACGCAGCGAAAUGCGAUAAGUAAUGUGAAUUGCAGAAUUCAGUGAAUCAUCGAAUCUUUGAACGCACAUUGCGCCCUCUGGUAUUCCGGAGGGCAUGCCUGUUCGAGCGUCAUUUCAACCCUCAAGCCUGGCUUGGUGAUGGGGCACUGCCUUCUAGCGAGGGCAGGCCCUGAAAUCUAGUGGCGAGCUCGCUAGGACCCCGAGCGUAGUAAUUAUAUCUCGUUCUGGAAGGCCCUGGCGGUGCCCUGCCGUUAAACCCCCAACUUCUGAAAAUUUGACCUCGGAUCAG
This 510-nucleotide ribosomal RNA is filed under the name fungal endophyte. RNAcentral's name for it is "eukaryotic LSU rRNA". The stretch from base 180 to 333 matches the Rfam family "5.8S ribosomal RNA". The record is from RNAcentral. Lineage: Eukaryota; Fungi.